Long non-coding RNA from Scomber japonicus (chub mackerel), 549 nucleotides. RefSeq lists it as uncharacterized. The record is from RefSeq and is a predicted model, not a curated record. The transcript is spliced from 4 exons. NCBI's taxonomy places the organism in Eukaryota, Metazoa, Chordata, Actinopteri, Scombriformes, Scombridae.
GGAAAGCGUCAAACAGUGGAGAGCUCUGUUUAUGCUGAGGUGAAGACAGGAUCUGCUGCAGAUGACAGUCUAACGUAUGCUCAGGUUAACCAUGACAUUAAAGGCAAAGCCAAGAAACACAAAGGAAAAUCAGCUCCUGCAGCAACUGAUGAAGCUGUUUAUUCUGAAGUUAAACCAGGAACAGCUCAUGGUCUGUAAAGACAGCUGUGUGGACAAGGCCAAAUAAAUAUGGUUAACAGCCUUUUAUAACCAUUGUGUGCAUCUCUGCUAUCCAAAUAUCAGCCAUGCUCAAUGCUUCGUACAGUUAAUAUAAUAAGAUUAUAUGAAAUAAAUACAUCAUGUGGAUUUAAUACUUUGUUUUUUAGCAGAAAGCACAAGACUACUGAGGUUUAUGUAGUAUUUAUGCACUGUAUUAUUAUUUUAUUUGUAGUUAUUUUGUUACUUAAUUUUAAAAGUUUGAUUGCAGCUAUUUCAAAAAGCAGCAGGAGGUAUCAGUUUGAAAUGUGUAAAUGAUAUUAACCAGGUGAUACUGCAGCUUUAAACUCAGCA